GGAAGAAUUCUACGGGCCAAGAUUACGGGGGAAUGUACUGUGCAGUACUAGUUGUCAACUCAUUUGUUGUAUCAGCUGGAAUACUUAGAAUUUUUGGGCAAGAAGUUGCUGAACUUCCUUUAGUUGCAACGAGUAAUGGAAACCAUGGGAAGGGCUAUUUCCAAUUAUUAUUCUCCUGCAUCGAGAAGUUGCUGGCUUUUUUAAACGUUCAGAGCCUUGUGCUCCCAGCUGCUGAAGAAGCAGAAUCUAUAUGGACUGAUAAAUU
Molecule: unclassified non-coding RNA, 265 nt
Filed under: Hevea brasiliensis (rubber tree)
Lineage: Eukaryota; Viridiplantae; Streptophyta; Magnoliopsida; Malpighiales; Euphorbiaceae
Source: RNAcentral